RNAcentral lists this long non-coding RNA (246 nucleotides) under Carica papaya (papaya). Its description in RNAcentral is "long non-coding RNA (CPAP_LNC009238)". The record is from RNAcentral. Lineage: Eukaryota; Viridiplantae; Streptophyta; Magnoliopsida; Brassicales; Caricaceae.
UUCCUUAAUAUAAAGUGAGUAUAUAUGUAAUACAAGGUCACUACACUAUCCUUUUGUAAUUGAGAAGUAUAGUACAUGCUCUAUUAUCUUAUAUUCAUUCCUGCAUCUAUAGCAUACUAGUGCCAUUAACAACACUCACUGGCAUGUUUCUUUAGUUAAGGGUAUCUACAUGUCCACAUGAUUCAUAAGGGUAAACAAAGCUUUAAAAUAUGCAAGAAAUGACUUAGUAAUGUAUUUAUUCUUUAU